RNAcentral lists this ribosomal RNA (58 nucleotides) under Colletotrichum truncatum. RNAcentral's name for it is "partial 28S ribosomal RNA". The record is from RNAcentral. Lineage: Eukaryota; Fungi; Ascomycota; Sordariomycetes; Glomerellales; Glomerellaceae.
GGUAACCUGGGAUCACGCACGGAUACCCGCGGAACUGCGUCGUAUCCUUAUCGGGGGA